RNAcentral lists this transfer RNA (62 nucleotides) under Rhodobothrium sp. DTJL-2012. RNAcentral's name for it is "tRNA-Pro". Lineage: Eukaryota; Metazoa; Platyhelminthes; Cestoda; Rhinebothriidea; Rhinebothriidae. RNAcentral also lists the same sequence under 1 other name. The record is from RNAcentral.
CUUACCUUAGUUUAAUUAGAAUGAGGGUUUUGGGGAUCUUUGGUCUCUUUGGAGAGGUUUGA